AGAGCUUGCUCUCGGGUGACGAGUGGCGGACGGGUGAGUAAUGUCUGGGAAACUGCCUGAUGGAGGGGGAUAACUACUGGAAACGGUAGCUAAUACCGCAUAACGUCGCAAGACCAAAGAGGGGGACCUUCGGGCCUCUUGCCAUCAGAUGUGCCCAGAUGGGAUUAGCUAGUAGGUGGGGUAACGGCUCACCUAGGCGACGAUCCCUAGCUGGUCUGAGAGGAUGACCAGCCACACUGGAACUGAGACACGGUCCAGACUCCUACGGGAGGCAGCAGUGGGGAAUAUUGCACAAUGGGCGCAAGCCUGAUGCAGCCAUGCCGCGUGUAUGAAGAAGGCCUUCGGGUUGUAAAGUACUUUCAGCGGGGAGGAAGGUGUUGUGGUUAAUAACCGCAGCAAUUGACGUUACCCGCAGAAGAAGCACCGGCUAACUCCGUGCCAGCAGCCGCGGUAAUACGGAGGGUGCAAGCGUUAAUCGGAAUUACUGGGCGUAAAGCGCACGCAGGCGGUCUGUCAAGUCGGAUGUGAAAUCCCCGGGCUCAACCUGGGAACUGCAUUCGAAACUGGCAGGCUAGAGUCUUGUAGAGGGGGGUAGAAUUCCAGGUGUAGCGGUGAAAUGCGUAGAGAUCUGGAGGAAUACCGGUGGCGAAGGCGGCCCCCUGGACAAAGACUGACGCUCAGGUGCGAAAGCGUGGGGAGCAAACAGGAUUAGAUACCCUG
Molecule: ribosomal RNA, 720 nt
Filed under: Enterobacter cloacae
Lineage: Bacteria; Pseudomonadati; Pseudomonadota; Gammaproteobacteria; Enterobacterales; Enterobacteriaceae
Description: bacterial SSU rRNA
Rfam family: Bacterial small subunit ribosomal RNA
Source: RNAcentral